UACGUAGGGAGCAAGCGUUGUCCGGAAUCAUUGGGCGUAAAGCGCGCGUAGGUGGCCCCAUAAGUCCGCUGUGAAAGUCAAAGGCUCAACCUUUGAAAGCCGGUGGAUACUGUGGGACUAGAGUACGGAAGAGGCGAGUGGAAUUCCUGGUGUAGCGGUGGAAUGCGCAGAUAUCAGGAGGAACACCAUAGCGAAGGCAGCUCGCUGGGACGUUACUGACACUGAGGCGCGAAAGCGUGGGGAGCGAACGGAUUA
Molecule: ribosomal RNA, 255 nt
Filed under: uncultured bacterium
Lineage: Bacteria
Description: partial 16S ribosomal RNA
Rfam family: Bacterial small subunit ribosomal RNA
Source: RNAcentral